CCUCUUUCACUGUCUCUCCCUCUAUUUCUCUCUCUCUCUCUUUCUGCUUUCUCGUACCAUUCCUUCCCUUUCUUUGUCUGCUGAAGGAGAAGGCAGGAGAGGAGGGUGCAAAUGUGAGAGAAAGCAAGAGAGUGUGUUGAGAGAGAGAUAGAGGGGUAAGAAAGGACAAGACCGAAUGGACUAGGCACUCUCGCCUUUUUAACAAUAGAAGCUCACUUCACUUCCUGUCUGUCAGUAGCGUUCCGUAAAGGUGAAACAUUUAAAGGUACAUUGCGCUCGAGGAGUGGGCAAACAGGAAGCAGUGCCCUUCUCUUCCUUUCUGACCUGCAAGAAAGGCUCAAAUUGAAAGCGAGGGAAAGUGUAGUGAUCUCUGUUGAGAUCUGCAGUGGAGGGAUUCUCAGACUCAUCAGCGCGGCUGAAUGUAUCACAUAGCAGAGCAGUAUUCUGGACGAAACUCGUGGGAUUCCUUCCCCUCUUCUGGGCCGAAACGAGCACCAUGGGCCCCAGGCAGCAACCGGCACUGGGCCCCUCCAUCCAGGU
This is a long non-coding RNA of Cyprinus carpio carpio, 540 nucleotides long. NCBI's taxonomy places the organism in Eukaryota, Metazoa, Chordata, Actinopteri, Cypriniformes, Cyprinidae. The record is from Ensembl.